This 99-nucleotide transfer RNA is filed under the name Actinoplanes philippinensis. RNAcentral describes it as "tRNA-His". Lineage: Bacteria; Bacillati; Actinomycetota; Actinomycetes; Micromonosporales; Micromonosporaceae. The record is from RNAcentral.
CUCGGCAGGAACAGGUAGCCCAGGUCCGCCUCGCCGUGGGCGGGGCGGACCCGGUCGGCGGGGCCCAGGUUCCGGCGUUCCAGCAUCACCGUGCCGAUC